UGCAUAUCAAAAGCGGAGGAAAAGAAACCAACAGGGAUUGCCCUAGUWACGGCGAGUGAAGCGGCAACAGCUCAAAUUUGAAAUCUGGCGUCUUCGGCGUCCGAGUUGUAAUUUGCAGAGGGCGCUUUGGCAUUGGCAGCGGUCCAAGUUCCUUGGAACAGGACGUCACAGAGGGUGAGAAUCCCGUACGUGGUCGCUAGCCUUUACCGUGUAAAGCCCCUUCGACGAGUCGAGUUGUUUGGGAAUGCAGCUCUAAAUGGGAGGUAAAUUUCUUCUAAAGCUAAAUACUGGCCAGAGACCGAUAGCGCACAAGUAGAGUGAUCGAAAGAUGAAAAGCACUUUGGAAAGAGAGUUAAAAAGCACGUGAAAUUGUUGAAAGGGAAGCGCUUGCAGCCAGACUUGCCUGUAGUUGCUCAUCCGGGUUUCUACCCGGUGCACUCUUCUACGGGCAGGCCAGCAUCAGUUUGGGCGGUUGGAUAAAGGUCUCUGUCAUGUACCUCCUCUCGGGGAGAACUUAUAGGGGAGACGACAUGCAACCAGCCCGGACUGAGGUCCGCGCAUCUGCUAGGAUGCUGGCGUAAUGGCUGUAAGCGGCCCGUCUUGAACACGGACCA
Molecule: ribosomal RNA, 614 nt
Filed under: Epicoccum sorghinum
Lineage: Eukaryota; Fungi; Ascomycota; Dothideomycetes; Pleosporales; Didymellaceae
Description: partial large subunit ribosomal RNA
Source: RNAcentral